RNAcentral lists this ribosomal RNA (1542 nucleotides) under metagenome. RNAcentral's name for it is "bacterial SSU rRNA". It matches the Rfam family "Bacterial small subunit ribosomal RNA". The record is from RNAcentral.
AGAGUUUGAUCCUGGCUCAGAACGAACGCUUGCGGCGUGGAUUAGGCAUGCAAGUCGAGCGAGAUUAUUUAGACGGAAGCUUCGGUGGAAGACUAAAUAUGAAAGCGGCGAACUGGUGAGGACAACUUGAGUAAUCUGCCCUAAAGUUUGGAAUAGCCUCGGGAAACUGGGAUUAAUGCCAAAUGUGGUCGUUCCGCUCAUGCGGAAUUGUCUAAAGGCUGGGACUCCUUCGGGAGCCAGUCGCUUUAGGAUGGGCUCAAGGCCUAUCAGCUUGUUGGUAAGGUAACGGCUUACCAAGGCUAAGACGGGUAGCUGGUCUGAGAGGAUGGUCAGCCACACUGGGACUGAGAACUGCCCAGACUCCUACGGGAGGCUGCAGUCGAGAAUCAUUCACAAUGCACGAAAGUGCGAUGAUGCGACGCCGCGUGGAGGAUGAAGGCUUUCGGGUCGUAAACUCCUGUCAGAAGGGAAUAAAUGCAUGAUUGUUAAUAGCUUUCAUGUUUGAAGGUACCUUCAGAGGAAGCCACGGCUAACUUCGUGCCAGCAGCCGCGGUAAUACGAAGGUGGCGAGCGUUGUUCGGAUUUACUGGGCGUAAAGGGAGCGUAGGCGGCAUUGUAUGUCGGAUGUGAAAGCCCACGGCUCAACCGUGGAAAUGCAUUCGAAACUGCAGUGCUAGAGUAUCGGAGAGGUAAGCGGAAUUCUUGGUGUAGCGGUGAAAUGCGUAGAUAUCAAGAGGAACACCAGCGGCGAAGGCGGCUUACUGGACGAAUACUGACGCUGAGGCUCGAAAGCCGGGGGAGCGAAGAGGAUUAGAUACCCUCGUAGUCCCGGCCGUAAACGUUGUACACUUGGUGUGGGAGGAUUUAUCCCCUUCUGUGCCGUAGCUAACGUGUUAAGUGUACCGCCUGGGGAGUACGGUCGCAAGAUUAAAACUCAAAGGAAUUGACGGGGGCCCGCACAAGCGGUGGAGCAUGUGGCUUAAUUCGAUGCAACGCGAAGAACCUUACCUGGGCUUGACAUGCCCGUCGUACCCUCCCGAAAAGGAGGGGUCAGCUAGGCUGGACGGUGCACAGGUGCUGCAUGGCUGUCGUCAGCUCGUGCCGUGAGGUGUUGGGUUAAGUCCCGCAACGAGCGCAACCCUUGUCUUUAGUUGCCAUCAGGGAGAGAUCUGCUGGGCACUCUAGAGAGACUGCCGGUGAUAAGCCGGAGGAAGGUGAGGAUGACGUCGAGUCAGUAUGGCCCUUAUGCCCAGGGCUGCACACGUGCUACAAUGGAUGGUAUAAUGGGUUGCCAAACCGCGAGGUGGAGCUAAUCCCCAAAACCAUCCCCAGUUCGGAUUGGAGUCUGCAACUCGACUCCAUGAAGCCGGAAUCGCUAGUAACGGCGUAUCAGCUACGACGCCGUGAAUACGUUCCCGGGCCUUGUACACACCGCCCGUCACAUCACGGAAGUUGACUGCACCCGAAGUCGUUGCUCCAACCCGCAAGGGAGGAAGACGCCGAAGGUGUGGUUAGUAACUGGGAUGAAGUCGUAACAAGGUA